AGAGGAAGUAAAAGUCGUAACAAGGUCUCCGUUGGUGAACCAGCGGAGGGAUCAUUACCGAGUUAUACAACUCAUCAACCCUGUGAACAUACCUAAACGUUGCCUCGGCGGGAACAGACGGCCCCGUGAAAACGGGCCGCCCCCGCCAGAGGACCCCCUAACUCUGUUUCUAUAAUGUUUCUUCUGAGUAAAACAAGCAAAUAAAUUAAAACUUUCAACAACGGAUCUCUUGGCUCUGGCAUCGAUGAAGAACGCAGCGAAAUGCGAUAAGUAAUGUGAAUUGCAGAAUUCAGUGAAUCAUCGAAUCUUUGAACGCACAUUGCGCCCGCCAGUAUUCUGGCGGGCAUGCCUGUUCGAGCGUCAUUACAACCCUCAGGCCCCCGGGCCUGGCGUUGGGGAUCGGCGGAGGCCCUCCGUGGGCACACGCCGUCCCCCAAAUACAGUGGCGGUCCCGCCGCAGCUUCCAUCGCGUAGUAGCUAACACCUCGCGACUGGAGAGCGGCGCGGCCACGCCGUAAAACCCCCAACUCUUCUGAAGUUGACCUCGAAUCAGGUAGGAAUACCCGCUGAACUUAAGCAUAUCAAA
This 586-nucleotide ribosomal RNA is filed under the name Fusarium solani. RNAcentral describes it as "eukaryotic LSU rRNA". The stretch from base 210 to 363 matches the Rfam family "5.8S ribosomal RNA". Lineage: Eukaryota; Fungi; Ascomycota; Sordariomycetes; Hypocreales; Nectriaceae. The record is from RNAcentral.